Molecule: long non-coding RNA, 265 nt
Organism: Amblyraja radiata (thorny skate)
Lineage: Eukaryota; Metazoa; Chordata; Chondrichthyes; Rajiformes; Rajidae
Exons: 3
Source: RefSeq, a predicted model, not a curated record
AUUUUUUAUUUGUAAACCAGCAUCUGCAGUUCCUUCUUUAACCCAGAACAACAGUCGUCCAGCCCUAUCCACCAAUUGACCCUGAAACCACCUCCCGCCCUCCACACCAAUUCCUCCCCCAGCCCUUCACUCGCCAAUCCCCAUGAACAUUUCCAGGCCUGAAACCAACUCUACUUACUCAAUGUGGAGGAAAGAGCUGCAGAUACUGGUUUAAAUCGAAGGUAGACACAAAAUGCUGAAGUGACUCAGCAUCUCUGGAGAAGGA